This 401-nucleotide unclassified non-coding RNA is filed under the name soil metagenome. RNAcentral's name for it is "partial contains 5.8S ribosomal RNA, internal transcribed spacer 2, and large subunit ribosomal RNA". The stretch from base 1 to 121 matches the Rfam family "5.8S ribosomal RNA", at positions 35 to 154 of the family's 154-position model. The record is from RNAcentral.
GAUGAAGAACGCAGUGAAAUGCGAUAAGUAAUGUGAAUUGCAGAAUUCAGUGAAUCAUCGAAUCUUUGAACGCACCUUGCGCCCUUUGGCUAUUCUGAAGGGCAUGCCUGUUUGAGUAUCAUGAACACCUCAACUCUCAUGGUUUGCCAUGAUGAGCUUGGACUUUGGGGGUCUUGCUGGCCUACGGUCGGCUCCUCUCAAAUGAAUCAGCUUGCCAGUGUUUGGUGGCAUCACGGGUGUGAUAACUAUCUACGCUUGUGGUUUCCCGCCAGGUAACCUUCAGUGAUGGAGGUUCGCUGGGGCUCAUAAAUGUCCCUCCACAGUGAGGACAGCUUUUGAACGUUUGAUCUCAAAUCAGGUAGGACUACCCGCUGAACUUAAGCAUAUCAAUAAGCGGAGGA